GAAAGAAGUCUUCCAUUAAGAGAACAGGAGGGUUAUUAACAGAAGAUACAGGAAAUAGACUGUGGGUAAGCAGAAAGAGCAGAUGUCUACUACAGCCACCAAGAUGGACAUGGAAAGCAAAGAACAGUCCUCCCAUUCACUGUCUUAUUCUGACCAGACAGUAUACAUCGGAAGCGGGUAGGAGGAGUAUAUUCCUUACUAGUGGAUGUAGCUGGUCUUUUCUCUUUUGAUCUUAGGGAUCCUUCUGCUGCUGCUGCUGCUAAGUCGCUUCAGUCAUGUCCGACUCUGUUCAACCCCAUAGACGGCAGCCCACCAGGCUCCCCCGUCCCUGGGAUUUUCCAGGCAAGAGUGCUGGAGUGGGGUGCCAUUGACUUCUCCUAAGGAUCUUUCUAGUUGGUUGAAAAAGACCUAUUUUUAAAUCCCUUCAGUGACCUGUCCUCCUUGCCACUAAUAUCUUCCACAUCUCAGCUUGUUGUGAAGGGAUGGCCCAGGUGAGCCAAAACAGCUAUGCAUCUGCCACUCAGGCUCUUUCCCUAGGCUGCUUCUCAUUCUAACUGUACCAACUCCACCCAGUUCCUUAGGGUUUCUUAACUCCCUUCAGCAGACGUCAGCUACAUACUCUGGACUCAUGAUUCAGCUUGAACUGGGUAGGCACAUUUUUUUUUUUUUUUAAAAGCAAAAAAGAGGGAUACCAAUCAAAAGAAAAAAGAAAUAAUAAGAGUUUGGGGACAUUCAGUAUUGCAAUGGGAAAUUGGGGAACUGGGCUGUGGAGGGGCAUAUUCUCCCUCAGUGCAUUUUGAAUUGAUUUUCAGAGAUAGAGAUGGGCUCUACAAUAAGGGCUGAGUAUUACCAAACAAGGACUCCCUGCCCUAUGAACAGAGAAGCCCAUACUAUGGCAGUGGCUUUCAAGAAAAGAAAGAGCUUUACUGUGAGGUUGACAGGCAAAAAAGGCAUGAGGCAAAGCUCUCAAAUUUGUCUCCCUGAUCCAGGGUUAAGGUGAAAUUUAAAGGGCUAGAGGAAUUUCAAAUGUGGAAGCUGAUUGGCUAGUCUUAGAAUUAGUCCAUAUAGGCUACUAGUCCUGCUGGAAGCCAAGUUUUCCUAAUUGAAAAUUUUCUUGCUUGGUAAAGAGCUCCAGUGGCAACAUUUUCACUCUUUUGAGUUUUGUAGACUGAAGAUUCUUGAUUCCAGGGUAAUCUUGGGGAUGUGGGUUCCUGUUUUGCACAUGUCUAGUGCUGUGUCUCUGUAAAGUAACUUAAGAUCUGAUUAAUCAACAACCUGUGCAGCAAAACUCUUUUCAGCUGGUGCUGUUUCACUUAAUUGACAAGCUAUUUAAGGAGGCAAAACCGGUUCAAACUGGUGCACUUUCAAGAGAGAACAGAGAAGGGAUGCAGAGCUGCUGCUGACUCUCCACUUUGCUUUUUUUGUCCUACAUUGGAGGAAACUGGUGUGUUCAAACUUUGGUCUACUGGAAUCAGUUUGUCUGAAGGGAAAUGCUUCACUGAAUGGUUAUAAUUCAGCUCCAAACCUCACUGCCAUUCCCACAGUGACUCAUCGAGAGCAGGAGGAUGCUGGGAAAAUCUUUUAGGCCAUUUGGAGGAGUGCUUGAAUAAGUGGUUUAACACCUGUUCACAGACUACUCACCACCCUCUGACCCUCAUCCACCAAGCCCUUUGGUAUUUCAUGGAAGACUUUAUUGGAGCUGGCCAGUGUUGGGUGCCUUGUGAAUUCUAUGCAUAAUUUAGCAAAUUUACCAAUGUUUGCCACCAUGUGUUCUAGCCCUGACUCUGGGACUUCAAGACUCCAGCCAUAUUUUAGAGCCUUUGACUUUCAUUUGUCCAUCCAGUUCUGUAAAUAUUGACAAAAUGAGGCUCUUAAAUACAGUAAAAUGGGCUCAGAUGAAUAACAAAUCUAUAGUGAAGAUGCCUAAGUCUCUCAGUAAACCUCAAACAAAUCCUGGGAAAGUUUCCUAACGUAGUUUCUUUGUGUCCCUUUCCCACCUCCUAGGGCAGGGCAGAGAACCUGGAUGAGAGACAUGGAUAAAGGGAUAUUUUAUGAAAUCUUUUAGACACUGACAUUUCAUGAAUUUCUUCUUUUGAGUGAGGAAUGGAGCAAGAUUUUGCACUUGCCUUAUUGUUAUUAAUCCCAAAGUUAGGCCUACAAGCAGUGUCCUUGGGGACACAGUUUCCCUGGGCUUGGGGUGUCAAGUCAGCACAGAGGUGACAAAAUUAACUUUGGAAGUCCCUUAAUGCACCCAUACAGGACAGUGUUACUAGUUUUUGUGCCUAAAAUCCUGCAAGUAAUUUUUGUGUACCUUCAAGUAUGAGAACCACUGUGAGGAGGAACAGAGUAGGUGUGCAGCUCUGAGGAAUUCAAACCAACCUGUCUUUAAAAUCACCAUCAAAACCUUAGUAUGACUGGGGGAUGAGCUGGCAUUCCCAAAAUGACCCUGACAGCCUACAGGCUUUAGUCAACCCUGUUUUUAUAUUGAGCCUUUCUAACCUUAAUGCAGUGUUACAGAUUGAUUAUGAUUGCUAAGCUUAAACUAGGAAGCGGAGUCACAUCUCGGAGGACGGGGGCAGGGGAGAGUGGGUGGGUUUAGUCUCCCAAACUUGCAAGCCUGCGCUAAAUUAGACCUUGAUGCAGCUUCACUGUACUCAAGAAAGCAAUGGAAUUCUUGGGCAAACCAGGGCAGUUUGUGGAUAUAAAAUGACUUUAAAAAUUAAAUGCUGUAGUGAAUUCAAAUGUUCAAACUCAGAGUUCCUCAGAGUGGAGGAGAAAUCCCUAUAAUAGAGGCCUUUCUCUCUCCUUUCACUUCUCCCCCUCCAUCUUAUUGUAUCUUCAAUUAUCUGGGUAAUUUGGUCCUGAGGGCAUAAAUUCCUUUAUAACUCAAAUCCAUUAUGCAGAGAAGAGUCAUCAGGAAAUUACUCAGAUUGCAUCCCUGAUGGUGUGAAGGUUUUGGAGCAGAUCCGGCAUCCCAUUAGCAAAGCACUGCUCUUGAAUUCAGAUUUGAGCCUGGAGGCUGGACAUCCAUGCUCUUCCCUUCGCCCCUCUUUGUUUCAGCAAGGGCCGCCUGUAGGGAAGUCCCGUGCUGGUGCUGGCUGGCGGCAGCUUCUCUCCAUCCGAGGCCACGGCUGCUGCCAGCUUCCCUUGGCUGGCGUAGACACCUUCUCUCCAGGCCAGGGAGAGCCGCUGCCAGGCGGGCAGACGUAUGCUUUCAUCAUGUCUCACCAUCUCCUGGAGCCAGGCACCCAGGCCUUUUAAUUCCUGUAAAACUCGGGUCUUUCUGGUGGAGAGCUGGUUUUCAUAUCUGUGGCCUGACGGGGAUCGUCCUUGUGCUGCUGCUGGUGGUCUGUGAGCAGCCUGCCUUUGAGCUGACAGGCCCUCAACCAAAAUGCAAACAUAUUCAAGUUCAAUUUUGGAAGAGGACAUUCUAAGUCUGGCAACCUCUGUCAUCUGGCUUCAUUCUUUCUAGAUUUCUGGUUUACUAGGGAUAUUCAGUUUGGUUUUAUUAUUUGUGUAUACAGGUUUUCCCUCUCCCCCCGCCCCCACCCCUGCUCACCCCUGCAAAGUGACGACUUUGAGGAAGGCAGCAUGUAGAAGGAUCUUAGAUUAUGGUUCAGGCAGACCUGUGUCUAUUGCUCUUUGUGUCUUCCCUCACAAUUAAGUAAAUACUGUAAGAGAGAAUUUUGUGUAUUUCAAUCUCUGCUGUGUCCCCAGUGUCUGGCAUUGUGCCAGGCACAUAGUAGGUGAUCCAUGAGGAAUUAAAGUGCACGAGGAAAAGAAUGGGCUAGCAUGCUGUGCUCUAAUUAGCAGCUUUGUGAUUUUAGGAAGAAUUCUUUUAAAUGCCAUUUUUCAUUUUGUCACCUGCAAAAUGGUCAUGAAAUGUGUAAGACCAUAGAGAAAGUACCUGGCUAGUGCUGUGUUCAACAAAUGGUAGGGUUUCCCUCUUCCAUUUGUCAACCGUAGAGUGAACUCUUCAAGGACAAACACCUAGUUUGAUUCUCCAUUUCCCAGGCCUAGCACUGCUCCUGCACAGAGUGGGUGUUCCAUAACGACUUGUUGAAUGAAUCUAGUCCUCCAUGGGAAGCGGGUGCUUGGGGAUCAGUGAAGUUGACUACUGAGGACAGGCCUAGAAAAGUUACCUUUCUAUUGUGUCUCAUUCUGGUAUCUGUUUCUAUGUGAGGGAAAUGAAUAGAGAAUUCUCUCCAGAUCAUCUGGAUCUAUGGAUUAUGUGAUGAUUUGAAAAGGAAUUUUUUACUGAAAUUUCUUCUUUUCAGUCAAAAAAGACCACUCAUAGGAUAAAAGGCCAGGCCUUGCAGUGAUUUGCUGACCACACUCUACAUAUUUUGGAAGUUUGAUACUUUAUGUGUAAUUUCUUGCACAUUUGUAAUGUUAGGUCACGUGACCCAUUCCGUGAGUUAACACACCUGCUACUGUUACACCCAUUUGACAAGGAAGAAAAGUAGAGGCAGGACAUGGAGAUUUGCCAAAGUCAGACACUUAUUUAGUGGUGCUAAGUUAGAAACUGCAUUUCCUCACCCCAAACUCGCCUCACUAGAGCAUGUAGCUUCUGUGAGUAUUGAGCUGAAAGGAGGAUACAGAUGUUUUGCACUCCUGUUCCCUUUGUCAAUGUUACUUAUUUGCAAAAUCUUGCCUUUUUUUCUGUUACUUGACCCAAGGUCUGUAUCUGCCACACCACUUACAAAUUGCUCCAAUCUCUAUUUUUGUUGUUAUGCCUGACAUAUAGUCACUUUCUCAGCUUGCAGCUCAAUUAAUCAUGCUCGUGUAAUUUUGAAGGGAACUUUUGUGUUCGUUUAAAUUUGGAAGGUGUUGAAGAAUCACUUACAGCUUUCAGCACUACUUUCUCCAGAUAUGACCCAGCUGAGAAUGUCUAUUUGAUUUACUGUGUUAAGUUGUGUCUAUUUCGUUUUUCAAGAGGGGCUAGCCUUAUUAAUUUUAUUCUAUUUGGGGGAAUAAUUAAUUUUAUUCUAUUUUAUGGAAUCUAUAUUAUUUAUAAUUUAUUUAUAUUUAUAAUUCAUUUAUUUAUAAUUUUAUUCUAUUUGGGGGAAUAAUUAAUUUUACUCUAUUUUGGGCUUCCCUUGUGGCUCAGCUGGUAAAGAAUCCACUUGCAAUGCAGGAGACCUGGGUUCGAUCCCUGGGUUGGGAAGAUCCCCUGGAGAAGAGAAAGGGUACUCACUCCUGUAUUCUUACCUGGAGAAUUCCAUGGACUGACUCAUGGGUUGCAAAGAGUUGGAAACAACUGAAUGACUUUCAUUUUCAAUUUUGGGAAAAAAGAGAAGAAUAUAUUUAUUCCUAUAUCAGAAGAUAUUCCUAUGCUGGUAAUUCAAGGCCAAAUUUUUUUUGUUAACCUCUGAUAAAAUAACAUGUAAACUGAAUGCAAAUCAAGUGUGACCUAAGACUUAUUAUAUUAUUGACAAUUCUGGUCCCAUCCAAAGCCACAGAAGAUAAUAAAUUAAGUACUUCUUCACGUAGUAUUGGUGAUGUUCAAUGCAAACUCUUUUGAAGAUGAAAUGGAACAUUUUUAUGAAGAGGGAUGAAUGAAAUACAAUAAGCUACUGUGGAGAUAAUUACUAGAAUGGAGGUAAAAUAGGUACCUUGGUGAUUCUUCUCUAGUGUUGCCAUAGGUAUGGUCAUUUAGAUGCAGCAUGAUGCCUCAAGCUAUAGAAUGCUAGCUCAAGGGUACCAAAGUGUAGACAAUUCUAUACUCAGUUCAUAUGUUUAUUCUUCAUUCCAUUGGACUAACAACUUCCACAUCAAGAAUGUGUUUUCAUGACUUAGUAUAGACCCUACAGUGGUGUUUGAGGUCCUCGCUUUAACUAGUGCCCUCCCAACCUCAUCUUGCUUUGCUCACUGCACUCUCUCUCCAGUGGCUUUCUUUCUUCUUACUUCAGCACAUCAAGCUUGUUUUCAUCAUAGGGUUUGUGCCAGUCCU
Bos taurus (domestic cattle) is the source of this 5953-nucleotide long non-coding RNA. The record is from Ensembl. Lineage: Eukaryota; Metazoa; Chordata; Mammalia; Artiodactyla; Bovidae.